AGGACGAACGCUGGCGGCGUGCUUAACACAUGCAAGUCGAGCGGUAAGGCCUUUCGGGGUACACGAGCGGCGAACGGGUGAGUAACACGUGGGUGAUCUGCCCUGCACUCUGGGAUAAGCCUGGGAAACUGGGUCUAAUACCGGAUAUGACCUGCUCUCGCAUGGGGGGUGGGUGGAAAGAUUUAUCGGUGCAGGAUGGGCCCGCGGCCUAUCAGCUUGUUGGUGGGGUAAUGGCCUACCAAGGCGACGACGGGUAGCCGACCUGAGAGGGUGACCGGCCACACGUGGGACUGAGACACGGCCCAGACUCCUACGGGAGGCAGCAGGUGGGGAAUAUUGCACAAGUGGGACGAAAGCCUGAUGCAGCAACGCCGCGUGGGAUGAAGGCUUCGGGUUGUAAACCCGUUUAGGAGGACGAAGUUGACGGUACCUACCGAAGAAAACGCCCCGGACAACGUACGUGACCAGCAGCCGC
RNAcentral lists this ribosomal RNA (475 nucleotides) under uncultured soil bacterium. RNAcentral's name for it is "bacterial SSU rRNA". It matches the Rfam family "Bacterial small subunit ribosomal RNA", at positions 26 to 518 of the family's 1533-position model. The record is from RNAcentral.